Molecule: ribosomal RNA, 506 nt
Filed under: uncultured bacterium
Lineage: Bacteria
Description: partial 16S ribosomal RNA
Rfam family: Bacterial small subunit ribosomal RNA
Source: RNAcentral
AUUGAACGCUGGCGGCAGGCCUAACACAUACAAGUCGAACGGUAACAGGAAACAGCUUGCUGUUUCGCUGACGAGUGGCGGACGGGUGAGUAAUGUCUGGGAAACUGCCUGAUGGAGGGGGAUAACUACUGGAAACGGUAGCUAAUACCGCAUAACGUCGCAAGACCAAAGAGGGGGACCUUCGGGCCUCUUGCCAUCGGAUGUGCCCAGAUGGGAUUAGUUAGUAGGUGGGGUAACGGCUCACCUAGGCGACGAUCCCUAGCUGGGCUGAGAGGAUGACCAGCCACACUGGAACUGAGACACGGUCCAGACUCCUACGGGAGGCAGCAGUGGGGAAUAUUGCACAAUGGGCGCAAGCCUGAUGCAGCCAUGCCGCGUGUAUGAAGAAGGCCUUCGGGUUGUAAAGUACUUUCAGCGGGGAGGAAGGGAGUAAAGUCAAUACCUUUGCUCAUUGACGUUACCCGCAGAAGAAGCACCGGCUAACUCCGUGCCAGCCGCCGCGGUAA